Molecule: long non-coding RNA, 175 nt
Organism: Bufo bufo (common toad)
Lineage: Eukaryota; Metazoa; Chordata; Amphibia; Anura; Bufonidae
Exons: 3
Source: RefSeq, a predicted model, not a curated record
UUAAAGGGCUUGUCCAGUUUACUAUAUUGAUGACUUAAGCUACAUGCACACGACAGUGAAAAACAAUGUCUGUUAAAAACUGACAUUUUUAAUGGACGUUUAUUUCACUGAUGCCUUUCUGAGAAACGGACGUUAAAAAUGGACCCAUUCAAUUGUAUGGGGGGGAGUCUGUCAG